Molecule: long non-coding RNA, 250 nt
Organism: Lolium rigidum
Lineage: Eukaryota; Viridiplantae; Streptophyta; Magnoliopsida; Poales; Poaceae
Exons: 4
Source: RefSeq, a predicted model, not a curated record
CCGCGUCGCACCGCCGUCUCCUGCCCGCCGCCGUUUCGUGCACCAUGGAAGGAUUGGGUUGAGCAGCUCCGUCCAAGUUCCAACCGAGGACCAAAGGUAGCAGCUCCGUCCAAGUUCCAACCGAUCUGGCCGGUCGCUGCUUCGUUCGCCCGUCCUUCCUCAGAUUGGUUCUAGCCGUGUAUCUCUGUCCGGUCGACGGGCUCUUUCUGCCGAGUUCAUGUGUUUGUUAAUAUGCCUGUGAGGUGACGAU